This 401-nucleotide ribosomal RNA is filed under the name uncultured bacterium. RNAcentral describes it as "bacterial SSU rRNA". It matches the Rfam family "Bacterial small subunit ribosomal RNA", at positions 976 to 1380 of the family's 1533-position model. The record is from RNAcentral.
AAGGCUUGACAUAUAGGGAAAAGUGGCAGAGAUGUCAUGUCCGCAAGGGCUCUAUACAGGUGGUGCAUGGUUGUCGUCAGCUCGUGUCGUGAGAUGUUGGGUUAAGUCCCGCAACGAGCGCAACCCUCGUUCUGUGUUGCCAGCAUUUAGUUGGGGACUCACAGGAGACUGCCGGGGUUAACUCGGAGGAAGGUGGGGAUGACGUCAAAUCAUCAUGCCCCUUAUGUCUUGGGCUGCACGCAUGCUACAAUGGCCGGUACAGAGGGCUGCAAUACCGUAAGGUGGAGCGAAUCCCAAAAAGCCGGUCUCAGUUCGGAUUGAGGUCUGCAACUCGACCUCAUGAAGUUGGAGUUGCUAGUAAUCGUAGAUCAGCAUCGCUACGGUGAAUACGUUCCCGGGGC